GACGAACGCUGGCGGCGUGCUUAACACAUGCAAGUCGAGCGGUAAGGCCCUUUCGGGGGUACACGAGCGGCGAACGGGUGAGUAACACGUGGGUGACCUGCCCUUAGCUCUGGGAUAAGCCUGGGAAACUGGGUCUAAUACCGGAUAUGACUCCAUGACGCAUGUUGUGGGGUGGAAAGCCUUGUGCGGCUGAGGAUGGGCCCGCGGCCUAUCAGCUUGUUGGUGGGGUGAUGGCCUACCAAGGCGACGACGGGUAGCCGGCCUGAGAGGGCGAUCGGCCACACUGGGACUGAGACACGGCCCAGACUCCUACGGGAGGCAGCAGUGGGGAAUCUUGCGCAAUGGGCGAAAGCCUGACGCAGCGACGCCGCGUGAGGGAUGACGGCC
RNAcentral lists this ribosomal RNA (387 nucleotides) under uncultured bacterium. RNAcentral describes it as "bacterial SSU rRNA". It matches the Rfam family "Bacterial small subunit ribosomal RNA", at positions 28 to 416 of the family's 1533-position model. The record is from RNAcentral.